Molecule: ribosomal RNA, 392 nt
Filed under: uncultured bacterium
Lineage: Bacteria
Description: bacterial SSU rRNA
Rfam family: Bacterial small subunit ribosomal RNA
Source: RNAcentral
AGCGAACGCUGGCGGCAUGCCUAACACAUGCAAGUCUGACGGGCGGGGCUUUCGGGCCUUGUCAGUGGCGGACGGGUGAGGAGCGCGUAGGAACGUAUCCAAGGGUGGGGGACAACCGCGGGAAACUGCGGCUAAUAUCGCAUGGGGCCUCUAGGGAGACCUGAAACGGGGAGACCGUGGGGGCCAAAGGCUGGGGCAACCUAGUCGCCGGUGGAGCGGCCUGCGUCCGAUUAGCUAGUUGGUGGGGUGAUGGCUUACCAAGGCAGCGAUCGGUAGCUGGUCUGAGAGGAUGAUCAGCCACACUGGGACUGGAGACACGGCCCAGACUCCUACGGGAGGCAGCAGUGGGAGUAUUGGACAAUGGGCGAAAGCCUGAUCCAGCAAUGCCGCGU